AUUGAACGCUGGCGGCAUGCUUUACACAUGCAAGUCGAACGGUAACAGGCCGCAAGGUGCUGACGAGUGGCGAACGGGUGAGUAAUGCAUCGGAACGUGCCCAGUCGUGGGGGAUAACUACUCGAAAGAGUAGCUAAUACCGCAUACGAUCUAUGGAUGAAAGCGGGGGACCGUAAGGCCUCGCGCGAUUGGAGCGGCCGAUGUCAGAUUAGGUAGUUGGUGGGGUAAAGGCUCACCAAGCCAACGAUCUGUAGCUGGUCUGAGAGGACGACCAGCCACACUGGGACUGAGACACGACCCAGACUCCUACGGGAGGCAGCAGUGGGGAAUUUUGGACAAUGGGCGCAAGCCUGAUCCAGCAAUGCCGCGUGCAGGAAGAAGGCCUUCGGGUUGUAAACUGCUUUUGUACGGAACGAAACGGCUCUGGUUAAUACCCGGGGCUAAUGACGGUACCGUAAGAAUAGGCACCGGCUAACUACGUG
This 482-nucleotide ribosomal RNA is filed under the name uncultured bacterium. Its description in RNAcentral is "partial 16S ribosomal RNA". It matches the Rfam family "Bacterial small subunit ribosomal RNA", at positions 30 to 507 of the family's 1533-position model. The record is from RNAcentral.